Molecule: transfer RNA, 74 nt
Filed under: Lentisphaerota bacterium
Lineage: Bacteria; Pseudomonadati; Lentisphaerota
Description: Lentisphaerae bacterium (anaerobic digester metagenome) tRNA-Gln
Rfam family: tRNA
About the family: Transfer RNA (tRNA) molecules are approximately 80 nucleotides in length. Their secondary structure includes four short double-helical elements and three loops (D, anti-codon, and T loops).
Source: RNAcentral
AACUCCGUGGUGUAAUGGUAGCACAACUGGUUUUGGUCCAGUUAGUUCAAGUUCGAAUCUUGACGGGGUUGCCA